Molecule: long non-coding RNA, 749 nt
Filed under: Mustela putorius furo (domestic ferret)
Lineage: Eukaryota; Metazoa; Chordata; Mammalia; Carnivora; Mustelidae
Description: lncRNA (ENSMPUG00000024005.1)
Source: RNAcentral
UUCUUCUUGUGAGAUAAUGAAAUGUCUAUGUGGUGUGAUGAAGUGAGGUGAAUGACACAGGCAUUGUGACAGAACAUAGGCUACCGUAGGCUUUCUGAGGAUGUGUCAGAAGGAAGAUCAUAUGUUUCCAGACCAUGGAUCAAUGUAGGUAACAAAUCGGGGAAAAUGAAAUUAUGAAUAACAGGGGGCUACUGUAGUCACAUUUUUAAUGUUAAAUAUUUAUUUGUCCUUUUUAAAAAUUCAUGUCAUGCUUAACACAUGUAUCUAAACCUAUUUCACACUCUAAGAUGGCCUCCAGUUAUCCUCACUUCCUGGUAUUCAUACCAUUUUGCUGUCUACUUCCACACUGAAUCAGGGUUGGUCUGCAUGACCCACAGAAUAUGGCUGAAAACAUGCUGCUGACUUCCAAAUCCAGGUCAUAGAACUCACCGAAGCUUCUGCGUUGAUCCCGUGGACUCCUUGCUCUGGAGGAAGCUGGCAGACAUGAAGUGGUGAUGUUCAAGCAGCCCAUGUCAAGACGAAGGCCUCCUGCCAACAGCCAGUAUCAGCCUGGCACUUAUGUGGGUACACCAUUUUGGAAGUCGAUCCUCCGGCCAACAUUUGACUACAACCUCACAAGAGAUCAAGAACCAGAGCAGCCCAGCCAAACUCCUCCCAAAUUUCUGAUAAUCAGAAAUGACCCCUACAGGAGGACUGAGGUGUUUGAAUGGAGAGUAGGGGAGGAGUUCUUCCUUCUUUUUCUCUUUUGA